Molecule: long non-coding RNA, 1474 nt
Organism: Mercurialis annua (annual mercury)
Lineage: Eukaryota; Viridiplantae; Streptophyta; Magnoliopsida; Malpighiales; Euphorbiaceae
Exons: 2
Source: RefSeq, a predicted model, not a curated record
UCCAUCUAAAAUCAAGCUAUUUUUAAAACACAAAACACAGAAAUCUAUGUAAAAUAAAUUUGAUUCUAUAAUACAUUCACUUAUAAAUAUGAAAAGAAUUGAACAAAAAAUGGAAGGGCGAAAGACAAAUAUAUCCCCAACGGUAUUGUGCAAAGGAAUUAGGAAUGUUAAAGAGUGAAAGUUAGUUAGAAAUGGCGGGAAGAUUAAGACGGAGCGGUGAUCAGCUACAGAUGCACCAGAUGCAGCUGGCUCAUCCUAAAGGUUGGAUGGAUCAACAUGCAGCAGCUGUAGUCAUAAUAACACGUGUCAUCCAUCCAUCUCAACACUAGUCGAUCCGACGGCUGACACAAUUCUUGAAAAGGACUGAAGCGGAUUAUUAAAACUCCCCAAAUAAAACAAUCACAAACAACAUUUCAAGAAUCAAGAAAGCUUUUCCCGAUUCAAUAAUCAUUAAUCAACCAAAACUUUCCUUCUUUUUCCCUGACUUCAAAAACCCACCAAACGUUGAUAAAAAUGCCAAACGUUGAUAAAAAUGGAAAUCCUCCAUCAUUCCACUGCAGUAAGUGUGAGAAAAAGGUCUUCACGAUGGACCAAUUGAAUAAACACCAUGCUUCUGCUCACCCGCCUCAGCCUGUUAAAAAGACCACCAAAAAUUAGGUUUUCUUUCUUUAUGUUUUUUAGUGUUUUCAUUCCUUUUUUGAGUACCUUUUGCCAUUUCAAGAAUUAAGAAACCACCAUAACCUUCCCCCUUUAAUUUUCUUUCUUCACCAAAUCUUCAAGAAAAUGAAUAUGAACGUAUAUCACGAGAAUCAGACAGUUGAGAUCUUUGAAGGGCCGCUUUUUGGGUCGUACUGGCCAGCCACGGUUCUCUCUAGAGAAAAAGGUCACCGCUUUAACGAUGAUGACUCGCCGCUGACUGAGGUGGUUCAUGUUAGAGUUAUAAGGUCGAUUCCACCGGAAUUUGUAUGUCAUCGGAACUUUGAGUUGAAUGAUAUAGUCGACAUCGGGGCUUGGCAGGCAGGGACAGUUAUCUGAAAUGUUGAGAAUCUUGAUCAUCACCUUGUGAGGCUGUUUGAUCAGACCGAACGGUUAGCUCCUUAUAUCAGGUUUCAUGCCGAGCGGUUUCCUCUUCCUUGCUAUGUGUUUUGGAGGCCAACCAAUGAAUAUACUCAUAAUCCAGUAACUGAUCCUCAACCCAGCGCCACAGAUUGAUAAUCUACCAAACCAGGGCCACUGAUUGAUGAAGAACAUAUUAUGGUUGUUUGAAACUUUGCAGGUUCUGCUACUAUUUUGAUUAGUAGACUUAAUAUGAAACUAUAUUGUUUUGCUAAAUAGUUAAUUAGGAAUUUGGCAUGUUAAAUUGUGAUUAAAUGCCUAAACCAAAAACAUUAUUCAUGUUUCUACUCUGAUAUGUUGCUAAUACUAGCUAUUACUAUUGUUUGAAUAAUGAUACAAGUGGACACUGUGGACUGUA